Molecule: long non-coding RNA, 3591 nt
Organism: Humulus lupulus (European hop)
Lineage: Eukaryota; Viridiplantae; Streptophyta; Magnoliopsida; Rosales; Cannabaceae
Exons: 3
Source: RefSeq, a predicted model, not a curated record
AGUAGGUGAUCAACAACUGGUUAUUUAGUACCUUUUAACCCACGUUUGGAGUUCCAACUUUAAAUAUUUCAUUCCUUUCCAUUUCCCACACUUUCCCUCACACUCGUAGAAACUCUUUCAUCUUCUCAGAUAGCGAAAACCUUUUUGUUCCCAGAAAAUUCAUUCCCAUAUUCUACUUCUCUUGCAUUUAGCUUGGAUAACUAUAGAGAAUACAAAUAUUUCAGGGUUAACAAUAUCAAAUACAUCCACAUUCGCACUCGCCUACAUGCAUAUCUUCAGUACUUAUCGAAUAAGCUUUCUUCACUGAGGUUCAUAGUUCCUACUUUGUUUUUGGAUAAUUUUUUGUGCUUGGGUUUUGGUUUUAGAUGAUGAACAUGCUAGGAUUUAGGUCAUUCCCUCUUUUUAUGCUAUUUUGCAUCCUUCUAAGUGUAAAAAUCCAGUUGUAAGUGAUCUUUUUUUCAUUUUGACUAAAAUUGUGUUUUGAGGGUUUCAAUUCUGGAAAUUUCCCAAAUUUUGACCUUGUUUAGUUGUGUUCUUGAAUCUCCGAUGGUGUUUCCGGUGACGUUUCUUUGCUUCAAGAACACUCCUUUUUAGAAAAAAAAAUUCAUCCUUUUUUUGUCCCCAAGCAGUUGUCUUAGGGUAUUCUCGUGUUCUGGCCAUUUUUUCUUUCGGUCGGGAUACUAAAUGCUUGGAUUUUUUUCAUAUGUCCGAGGAGCUCUAAGAACUUAACCAGCACAGGUUCUACAGAUUUGAUUGAGAAAUUCAGGAGAUGCCCAGAAGACAAACUCUCAAGGAUGCUCGUGUGGUGGAGCGUCUAGCCUUGGUGGCGGAAAGGCCACUGACGGUGAGGGCGCAAUCGGGUGUGCUUAUCUUAACUGAGGAGGAAGUCAACGUGGGCCCGAUGUCCAACUAAUCAGCUCAUUAUAAAGCCUCGAGAUUUAAGGUGGAGCAUAUCCUGACCUAGUUGAAAAACUUGAAUGCUUGGCCCACAUCAAGGCCCCCUACGGGUUCGCAAUGACAGCUAUCCCACUCAGCUUUUUCGGGACACGGAGAGGUUUUGGGUCCAAGAGUCAGUCACACCUCCAUGGAACACAACACUUCUUCUCCUCUAGUACUUCUUCAAUUUUUUGAAGUACGUAGGGAUCUCCCCCUUCCAACUAAUCUUGAAUGGCUACAAGGUCCUCGCAGGCUAGUACAUCUUGUACAAGUGCCACAACUGGCUCGAACCUUCUCUGGCGGAGAUCCUAUAUUUGUACAGCUUUUGAGCCUGUCUGAAGAAGAAGGGAAGUGAUCUAGAUGGGACUUUAAGGACCACUUCUUCUUCACUACAGGCGUCCCUAUUCAUUCCAAUCCAACUCUACUUCUAGACAUUUCAAAAGUUGGUAAGCCUUUUUGUCACUUUCGGAGAGUUUCUUAGAUUUGGGUUCCUUUAGCUUGCGUUACUUUUUGUCUGAGGUCCUUUCCUCCACACCUCGUAGAUUCCUUCCUUCCAAGACUGUCUGUAGGAAAUGAAGACUUCCCCGAACAUGGAUCUGGAGCUGAGCUAGCUGCUAACCCACAAAGAAUCUUGUCCGGGUGGGACUUCAUCCCCAAGUUCAAAACAUUGGUAAUCUGGACCUCACUAGGUUCCCAAACUCUAAUAAGUCCCGGAAGCAGAUGGCUAGGCAUAUUGAGGAAGUUGACAUGCAAGCUAGACGCAUGCACACCCAACUUUUGGCCAAAGAGCGUCAAGAGACUUCUCGGGCAAUUCAAGCAGCCCAAGAAGCAUGCCUCAAGCAGGUUAUCGAGGAGGAGAUAGAGUUGGGAGUUGGGGCCUCCACUUCUGACCAAGGUAAAACUCUUCUCCUUCUAUUUCAGGGGGGGGGGGGGGGGGGUAAGUCCCGACCAUGUGUGAGUCUCCCCCACGAUUCUCUGAUGUGACCUCCUCAGUGAUCGUCGAUGGACUUAGGAGGAGUAUCAAGAUUAGCAAGAUAUCAUAGGCUACUACCUUCAUCACGCAGGAAGUGUUUGCCUCCUUGGAGCUUUGUACCCCUCGAUGACAUGACCUCUUUCCGCGCUUCAUGGUUUUUUCAGUACAAAACCAACACUACCCAAAAGAUGGGUAAGCUAAUGAGUGCAUUUGCUCACUCAAUACUUCACCCAGAGGAGUCAUCAAGUGUUGAGGUUCGUUGCCUUUGCCCACGAUCUAGACUCGGUGAUCCCGGAAGCUAGAGGAUCUGUGGCUGGAGGGCAAACGAGACCUGGAGAGGAGGUGGAACCUUCCCCACCCCCAAAGAGACAACAAAUGACUCAGACUUCUGUCGAUGAGCUUGGGGCAGUGCCUGACCUUCCACCGUGGGAGGUUACUAACACUCUGAUAUUGGAGGUGUCCUUUGAGGAUUCACCUGCCCCUAGAGUUGUUGAAAUCCCAGAGGUUGCUGAAGUCCCAGAGGUCCAAGAUGUUCCUUGCCUGCUCGUGUACCCCGAGCACCACGGGGGGAAACUACUCGAGAGGUACAAUGGAAUGGUGGAGCAUUUCAAGGCUCAACUGGAGGAGGGCAACACUCUGGUUCAUGAGAUGGGGGAAUAUAUUUGCCAAUUGCUACCUCCACGGGAGACGCCUCAGGAACCUCCAAUUUGGCAUGCACAACUAGAUGGUUUGUUUCUUUAGAAACUUGGCCUCUUUGUUGCUCCAUUGGCUGCGGAGCGUCUCCAGGGGUUAAGUACCACUGUUUGUGACUUAACCACAAGAAGAUACGCCCAACUAGUGGGGACGAUGAGGCAUGACUCAUCUCUUCCUGCCAGUAGGCAACAGUAAAGGCAACUUUGAUGGUCCAAUGCCUGGAGAACAUAAUGAUGGAGAAAUCAUAUGAACUCCAACGGACCUCAGAAAAGCUGGCUGUUCUGAAGUCCAACAUGUCUGUGGAUGUGGUGAAACAACUUCGGGCGGCCCUCAAUGAGGAGAAUGCACGUUCUUAGGAACUCCAAGUGGACUCAAAGGAGUCUUUUGACUUGCCAACAAGACUCCAAAAAAAAAUGGACCUCUUCUCUGCGGAGGCCAAGAAAGCUGCUGAAGAGGUGGCAAAGGCCAAUGAGGAGACCAGGGUAGUUAAAGAAGAGGCCACCAAAGCCUAGAAGGAGGCCACUCGGGUCGCGGAGGAAGCCAAUACUCUAUUCAAGGAGAGGUUGGCCACAGAGGACCGCAUUAGGGCCAUGGCCUUCGAGAUUGAAUCCUUAUCAAAUGAGAUGAAUAUCUUGAGUGAAGAGGUGGAUAGCAUUGCUAAAAAUGUUUUUUACAAGUCCUGGCUUUGGAACUGGGAUAUGGACUUAAGCUUCACUGGCAAUGCCGAUGCUACACGUGCACUCUUUGAGGAGCGCCUCUGAUCCAAAAUUGAUGCUACUGUUACUAGAUCCUCCAGUGUCAAUCUCGUCAUCGAGCUCAAAGAAGAAAUUCCUCGGGACCAAGAGAAGUUCAGUCUUUUUGUCUCCUUUUUUUUAUUGUAUAGGCAUGUGAGCCAUGUUUCUGGAGCAUGAAUAAUUCUAAUGCUCGAGCUCCCGAGCAUUUUCGUAUAAUUGUACAUUUAAUAGCCUUUUAUUGAUUUUUAUGAUCUA